UACAGAGGGGGCAAGCGUUGUUCGGAAUUACUGGGCGUAAAGGGCGCGUAGGCGGCCUUCUAAGUCGAACGUGAAAUCCCCGGGCUCAACCCGGGAACUGCGUCCGAUACUGGAAGGCUUGAAUCCGGGAGAGGGAUGCGGAAUUCCAGGUGUAGCGGUGAAAUGCGUAGAUAUCGGGAGGAACACCAGUGGCGAAGGCGGCGAUCUGGGAAGAUACUGACGCUGAGGUGCGAAAGCGUGGGGAGCAAACAGG
Molecule: ribosomal RNA, 253 nt
Filed under: uncultured bacterium
Lineage: Bacteria
Description: partial 16S ribosomal RNA
Rfam family: Bacterial small subunit ribosomal RNA
Source: RNAcentral